AGUGAACGCUGGCGGUAGGCCUAACACAUGCAAGUCGAACGGCAGCACAGUAAGAGCUUGCUCUUACGGGUGGCGAGUGGCGGACGGGUGAGGAAUACAUCGGAAUCUACUUUUUCGUGGGGGAUAACGUAGGGAAACUUACGCUAAUACCGCAUACGACCUACGGGUGAAAGCAGGGGAUCUUCGGACCUUGCGCGAUUGAAUGAGCCGAUGUCGGAUUAGCUAGUUGGCGGGGUAAAGGCCCACCAAGGCGACGAUCCGUAGCUGGUCUGAGAGGAUGAUCAGCCACACUGGAACUGAGACACGGUCCAGACUCCUACGGGAGGCAGCAGUGGGGAAUAUUGGACAAUGGGCGAAAGCCUGAUCCAGCCAUACCGCGUGGGUGAAGAAGGGCUUCGGGUUGUAAAGCCCUUUUGUUGGGAAAGAAAAGCAGCAGGUUAAUACCCCGCUGUUCUGACGGUACCCAAAGAAUAAGCACCGGCUAACUUCGUG
Molecule: ribosomal RNA, 492 nt
Filed under: uncultured bacterium
Lineage: Bacteria
Description: partial 16S ribosomal RNA
Rfam family: Bacterial small subunit ribosomal RNA
Source: RNAcentral